GACGAACGCUGGCGGCGUGCUUAACACAUGCAAGUCGAACGGAAAGGCCCCUUUGGGGGUACUCGAGUGGCGAACGGGUGAGUAACACGUGAGUAACCUGCCCUUGACUUCGGGAUAACUUCAGGAAACUGGGGCUAAUACCGGAUAGGAAUCCUUGCUGCAUGGUGGGGGUUGGAAAGCUUCGGCGGUUUUGGAUGGACUCACGGCUUAUCAGCUUGUUGGUGGGGUAGUGGCUUACCAAGGCUUUGACGGGUAGCCGGCCUGAGAGGGCGACCGGCCACAUUGGGACUGAGAUACGGCCCAGACUCCUACGGGAGGCAGCAGUGGGGAAUAUUGCACAAUGGGCGGAAGCCUGAUGCAGCAACGCCGCGUGCGGGAUGACGGCCUUCGUGUUGUAAACCGCUUUCAGCAGGGGCGAAGCUUGUGGUGACGGUACCUGCUGAAGAAGCACCGGCUAACUACGUG
RNAcentral lists this ribosomal RNA (465 nucleotides) under uncultured bacterium. RNAcentral describes it as "partial 16S ribosomal RNA". It matches the Rfam family "Bacterial small subunit ribosomal RNA", at positions 28 to 507 of the family's 1533-position model. The record is from RNAcentral.